Molecule: non-coding RNA, 1650 nt
Organism: Misgurnus anguillicaudatus (oriental weatherfish)
Lineage: Eukaryota; Metazoa; Chordata; Actinopteri; Cypriniformes; Cobitidae
Source: RefSeq, a predicted model, not a curated record
CAAAGUUGCCAUUUGACAUCAAUGGGUCAGUUAGAAUGUGUUGAAGCAUCCAAAAUACAUCUUGGUCCAAAAAUGACAAAUUUAUUCAGCAUUCUCUUCCAUGUCUAUUGUGUAGCGCAUGUGUCUGACUAAAGUCUUGUGACGCAGAUGGCGUGUUAUCCUCAGAUAUGUUUGUGAAUUUUUUUCACAUUUACAGCAUUCGUCUCCCUCAGACUGUAAACGAAGCUCGGGCGCACAAAAAAAAGCGGGGACGCACCUAAUAACACAUCAGCCACGUUGUACGUCAGCUGCGUCACUGCAGUCAUGUGACUUUAGUCUCGUGCGCGUUCAAAACAGAACCGGAAGAGAAGACAAUGCUGAAUGAUGUCGUAAUUUUGUUAUUUUUGGACCAAAAUGUAUUUUCGAUGCUUCAACACAUUUUAACUGACCCACUGAUGUCAAAUGGCUACUUUGAUGAUGUUUUUUUAUUACCUCUCUGUUCCUGGACAGUAUACUGUGCAUAGAUUUUCAAUGGAGGGUCAGAAAGCUCUCAGACUAAAUCUAAAAUAUCUUAAACUGUGUUUCGAAGAUGAACGGAGGUCUUACCCUCAUGUCGUUCCAAACUCGUGAGUCAUUAAUUACAUUAUUUUCAUUUUUGGGUGAACUCUCCCUUUAAUUACAUGCUCAUACUUUAAUUAUGCCUGAUAAGAAUUUGUAAUAUUUGUGUUUAAACAUUUUUCGAAUUUUAAUCCUUGUUUUUAAAUGGCCAUGACAGUGACAAAAAGGAAGCAGCCUUCUCUAGCCCACCCAAGUUUCCAUCAAAGGAGCAAGCCUAUGUCAGUAAGAAGAAAGCUGGCUAACCCUCCCACCCCUUGUUUAACUCCUCCAGCCCAUCCCACAUCAUUGUAGAGUGAAGAGACUGCGGUUAAUAUUCAGAAAGAGGCGCAGAGAACUGAAGGCUUUCCUGACUUGACACCGAAUAAUAACGAAGGCCUGUGUGCUUUGCAGCAGCCUCCACGUCACCCUCUUCCAGUGCUCCGUCAGAGGACUAACGAUGUGCCACAAGAUGAUUGGCAGCAAGACACACCCAGUGAUGAAGGGAUGUGCUCUCCUUAAAUCACAGCCUAUUCAUCAGGUACUCCUGAGUGCUGUGUUAAGAAAUCCUGCCUACAAAGUUCCACUGAGGCUGAUAUAAAGAUGACUGUGAGAAACUGGCUGCGGCUGUCUGAGCAGAGACAGGAAUGGGGGCGGCAAAGGCGGGACAAGCAAGCAUCUUAAGUGAAAUAAUUGAUUGGACUGAUUCUGGAGUAUGACUUAUUCUGGAGGGAAUUUCUUAUUUUUGUUGCAGUUUGCUAUGGGACGGUUUCAAGGACAGGGAUUAGACUAGUUCUAGACUAAAAUAAAUGUAAGAGCUGUCCAAACUGAAAACAACUUGCACUGACAUAUCAUAAAAUACAUCAGUGUCUUUUGUGAUGCUUCAAAAUGCACACAAGUAAUGUUUUUAUUAAGACAUGUUAUUAAAACUAGUUAUAUUUCAGAAUUAAACUAAGGCCUAGUCCCGGUUUAAGAUAAUCCCUGUCCGGGAAACCACCCCAAAGUGUAAUUUGUGGAGUGUUAAAAUAAAUGAAACUGCCUUUGCAAAAACAAAGUAAAAAAAAAUUUCCAGAUGCC